UUUGGAGAAGCAACUGGCCUGUCACUUUCACUUAAGCAAGCUGUGCCAACCUCUCUCCUGUCCCUUUCUCCUCAUCUGGUCGUGCCUCUUCCUGUUCUCAUCCUCCUUGGCUGCUUCUAAUAGCUUUCCUCAUUAAUUAUUUGUUUAUGUUUUCAUGUUUUAAUAAUUGUUUAGUCUUGUGUAUUGCCUAUUUAAAGGCUUCUCCAUCACUUGUAAUAAUCAUCCAGUAUCAAUACAAGUUCUCUUAGUCUAAUUUCGUGGCUCUCUCUCCCUUGCUUGUGUCUAAACAAUAUUCACAAUGUAAGGAGUUUAGAGUUAUGGUUUAGAGGCUGCCUU
This is a long non-coding RNA of Brassica rapa (field mustard), 336 nucleotides long. RefSeq lists it as uncharacterized. The record is from RefSeq and is a predicted model, not a curated record. Lineage: Eukaryota; Viridiplantae; Streptophyta; Magnoliopsida; Brassicales; Brassicaceae.